UCCCUGGUGGUCUAGUGUUUAAGACUCCCUGCUUCCAAUGCAGGGGGCAUGGGUUCGAUCCCUGGUCAGGGAA
This is a non-coding RNA of Bos taurus (domestic cattle), 73 nucleotides long. The record is from Rfam. Lineage: Eukaryota; Metazoa; Chordata; Mammalia; Artiodactyla; Bovidae.